AGAGUUUGAUCCUGGCUCAGGAUGAACGCUGACGGCGUGCCUAACACAUGCAAGUCGAGCGAUUCUCUUCGGAGAAGAGCGGCGGACGGGUGAGUAACGCGUGGGUAACCUGCCCUGUACACACGGAUAACAUACCGAAAGGUAUGCUAAUACGAGAUAAUAUACUUUUAUCGCAUGGUAGAAGUAUCAAAGCUUUUGCGGUACAGGAUGGACCCGCGUCUGAUUAGCUAGUUGGUAAGGUAACGGCUUACCAAGGCGACGAUCAGUAGCCGACCUGAGAGGGUGAUCGGCCACAUUGGAACUGAGACACGGUCCAAACUCCUACGGGAGGCAGCAGUGGGGAAUAUUGCACAAUGGGCGAAAGCCUGAUGCAGCAACGCCGCGUGAGCGAUGAAGGCCUUCGGGUCGUAAAGCUCUGUCCUCAAGGAAGAUAAUGACGGUACUUGAGGAGGAAGCCCCGGCUAACUACGUGCCAGUAGCCGCGGUAAUACGUAGGGGGCUAGCGUUAUCCGGAAUUACUGGGCGUAAAGGGUGCGUAGGUGGUUUCUUAAGUCAGAGGUGAAAGGCUACGGCUCAACCGUAGUAAGCCUUUGAAACUGGGAAACUUGAGUGCAGGAGAGGAGAGUGGAAUUCCUAGUGUAGCGGUGAAAUGCGUAGAUAUUAGGAGGAACACCAGUUGCGAAGGCGGCUCUCUGGACUGUAACUGACACUGAGGCACGAAAGCGUGGGGAGCAAACAGGACUAGAUACCCUGGUAGUCCACGCCGUAAACGAUGAGUACUAGCUGUCGGAGGUUACCCCCUUCGGUGGCGCAGCUAACGCAUUAAGUACUCCGCCUGGGAAGUACGCUCGCAAGAGUGAAACUCAAAGGAAUUGACGGGGACCCGCACAAGUAGCGGAGCAUGUGGUUUAAUUCGAAGCAACGCGAGGAACCUUACCUAAGCUUGACAUCCUUUUGACCGAUGCCUAAUCGCAUCUUUCCCUUCGGGGACAGAAGUGACAGGUGGUGCAUGAUUGUCGUCAGCUCGUGUCGUGAGAUGUUGGGUUAAGUCCCGCAACGAGCGCAACCCUUGCCUUUAGUUGCCAGCAUUAAGUUGGGCACUCUAGAGGGACUGCCAGGGAUAACCUGGAGGAAGGUGGGGAUGACGUCAAAUCAUCAUGCCCCUUAUGCUUAGGGCUACACACGUGCUACAAUGGGUGGUACAGAGGGCAGCCAAGUCGUGAGGCGGAGCUAAUCCCUUAAAGCCAUUCUCAGUUCGGAUUGUAGGCUGAAACUCGCCUACAUGAAGCUGGAGUUACUAGUAAUCGCAGAUCAGAAUGCUGCGGUGAAUGCGUUCCCGGGUCUUGUACACUCCGCCCGUCACACCACGGGAGUUGGGGGCGCCCGAAGCCGGAUUGCUAACCUUUUGGAAGCGUCCGUCGAAGGUGAAAUCAAUAACUGGGGUGAAGUCGUAACAAGGUA
This 1461-nucleotide ribosomal RNA is filed under the name metagenome. RNAcentral describes it as "bacterial SSU rRNA". It matches the Rfam family "Bacterial small subunit ribosomal RNA". The record is from RNAcentral.